GGCGAUGUCGUCACCAGCACCAUAACAUAUGGAAAAUAUUCUGACGACCUCGGCCAACGGUUGACUGUUGUGUGUGCAGUUUUUGUUUGAUUGGACUUUUUCCAACAAACUUAAGUUCCGGGUUGCUACUAAUGGACUUUCCAUAUAAAAAACUGCAGCAACGCGGAAACGUUUUAGAAGUCAGCUGUGUUGGAGUGGAGCCGUGGUUGGAGUCAAACGCGUUGGAGUCGGGUCGGGUCGGAAGUUCUGUUUGGAGAUUUUUCGGUUAUUUAAGUUUAAGCCUCACUUGACAGCGAGGGAUAAAAGAAGCAGGACUCCAUCGCGCCCAAGGGAUAAGCGCGCCAAGUUGGAUACUUGGCUGGACUUGGGUGCGAACCACACUCUAAUAGGAGACUUCUCGAAC
Molecule: long non-coding RNA, 403 nt
Organism: Hermetia illucens (black soldier fly)
Lineage: Eukaryota; Metazoa; Arthropoda; Insecta; Diptera; Stratiomyidae
Exons: 3
Source: RefSeq, a predicted model, not a curated record